AUGAUAGCACAUGGAUUUAAGAGGUCUGCAUAUGAUAGUUGUGUUUACAUUAAAUUUGUUGAUGGAUCACCUAUAUACUUGCUGUUAUAUGUUGAUGAUAUGUUAAUUGCUGCCAAGGGCAAGAAAGAGAUCACUGCUUUAAAGGCACAGUUAAGUAGUGAGUUUGAGAUGAAGGAUCUUGGUGCUGCUAAGAAAAUUCUAGGUAUGGAGAUUACCAGGGACAGAAAUUCUGGUUUGUUAUUUCUUAGUCAGCAGAGUUACAUUAAGAAAGUUCUUCAUCGUUUUAACAUGCAUGAUGCUAAGCCAGUAAGUGCAUCCAUUGCUCCUCAUUUCAAAUUAUCAUCUUCUCAAUGUCCUAGUACGGAUGAAGAUUUUGAGUAUAUGUCAAGAGUUCCAUAUUCUAGUGUUGUCGGUUCUUUAAUGUAUGUCAUGGUGUGUUCUCAGCCUGAUUUAUCAUUUGCAAUGAGUCUGGUUAGUAGAUUCAUGGCUAACCCUGGUAAAGAACAACGGAAGGUUGUCCAGAAUUUCCAGGUACCUUCGUGGCACUUCCAAUGCUUGUUUGAAAUUCGGCAGGACUGGUGA
This 582-nucleotide ribosomal RNA is filed under the name Triticum aestivum (bread wheat). RNAcentral describes it as "partial small subunit ribosomal RNA". The record is from RNAcentral. Lineage: Eukaryota; Viridiplantae; Streptophyta; Magnoliopsida; Poales; Poaceae.